UACGAAGGGGGCUAGCGUUGCUCGGAAUGACUGGGCGUAAAGGGCGCGUAGGCGGCUCAUACAGUCAGGCGUGAAAUUCCUGGGCUCAACCUGGGGACUGCGCUUGAGACGUGUGGGCUUGAGUGGGGAAGAGGGUCGUGGAAUUCCCAGUGUAGAGGUGAAAUUCGUAGAUAUUGGGAAGAACACCGGUGGCGAAGGCGGCGACCUGGUCCUUGACUGACGCUGAGACGCGAAAGCGUGGGGAGCGAACCGG
RNAcentral lists this ribosomal RNA (253 nucleotides) under uncultured bacterium. Its description in RNAcentral is "partial 16S ribosomal RNA". It matches the Rfam family "Bacterial small subunit ribosomal RNA", at positions 524 to 776 of the family's 1533-position model. The record is from RNAcentral.